Molecule: ribosomal RNA, 540 nt
Filed under: uncultured Geobacteraceae bacterium
Lineage: Bacteria; Pseudomonadati; Thermodesulfobacteriota; Desulfuromonadia; Geobacterales; Geobacteraceae
Description: bacterial SSU rRNA
Rfam family: Bacterial small subunit ribosomal RNA
Source: RNAcentral
GAGUUUGAUCCUGGCUCAGAACGAACGCUGGCGGCGUGCCUUACACAUGCAAGUCGAACGUGAUCCAGAGCUUGCUCUGGUGAAAGUGGCGCACGGGUGAGUAACGCGUGGAUAACCUACCCUGGUAUCCGGGAUAACAUUCCGAAAGGGGUGCUAAUACCGGAUAAGCCCACGGGCUCUUUGGAGCUUGCGGGAAAAGGUGGCCUCUAUUUAUAAGCUAUUGUAUCAGGAUGGGUCCGCGUACCAUUAGCUAGUUGGCGGUGUAACGGACCACCAAGGCGACGAUGGUUAGCUGGUCUGAGAGGAUGAUCAGCCACACUGGAACUGAGACACGGUCCAGACUCCUACGGGAGACAGCAGUGGGGAAUUUUGCGCAAUGGGGGAAACCCUGACGCAGCAACGCCGCGUGAGUGAUGAAGGCCUUUGGGUCGUAAAGCUCUGUCAGAGGGGAAGAAGUGAUAUAGUGCUAAUACCACUUUAUCUUGACGGUACCCUCAAAGGAAGCACCGGCUAACUCCGUGCCAGCAGCCGCGGUAAUAC